GAACCUGCGGAAGGAUCAUUACCUAGAGUUGUAGGCUUUGCCUGCUAUCUCUUACCCAUGUCUUUUAAGUACCUUACGUUUCCUCGGCGGGUCCGCCCGCCGAUUGGACAAUUUAAACCAUUUGCAGUUGCAAUCAGCGUCUGAAAAAACUUAAUAGUUACAACUUUCAACAACGGAUCUCUUGGUUCUGGCAUCGAUGAAGAACGCAGCGAAAUGCGAUAAGUAGUGUGAAUUGCAGAAUUCAGUGAAUCAUCGAAUCUUUGAACGCACAUUGCGCCCCUUGGUAUUCCAUGGGGCAUGCCUGUUCGAGCGUCAUUUGUACCUUCAAGCUCUGCUUGGUGUUGGGUGUUUGUCUCGCCUCUGCGUGUAGACUCGCCUCAAAACAAUUGGCAGCCGGCGUAUUGAUUUCGGAGCGCAGUACAUCUCGCGCUUUGCACUCAUAACGACGACGUCCAAAAGUACAUUUUUACACUCUUGACCU
RNAcentral lists this ribosomal RNA (481 nucleotides) under Dothideomycetes sp. FL-2010b. Its description in RNAcentral is "eukaryotic LSU rRNA". The stretch from base 162 to 315 matches the Rfam family "5.8S ribosomal RNA". Lineage: Eukaryota; Fungi; Ascomycota; Dothideomycetes. The record is from RNAcentral.